GCUGGCGGCGUGCUUAACACAUGCAAGUCGAACGGUKAACACGGAGCUUGCUCUGUGGGAUCAGUGGCGAACGGGUGAGUAACACGUGAGCAACCUGCCCCUGACUCUGGGAUAAGCGCUGGAAACGGCGUCUAAUACUGGAUAUGUGACGUGACCGCAUGGUCUGCGUUUGGAAAGAUUUUUCGGUUGGGGAUGGGCUCGCGGCCUAUCAGCUUGUUGGUGAGGUAAUGGCUCACCAAGGCGUCGACGGGUAGCCGGCCUGAGAGGGUGACCGGCCACACUGGGACUGAGACACGGCCCAGACUCCUACGGGAGGCAGCAGUGGGGAAUAUUGCACAAUGGGCGAAAGCCUGAUGCAGCAACGCCGCGUGAGGGAUGACGGCCUUCGGGUUGUAAACCUCUUUUAGCAGGGAAGAAGCGAAAGUGACGGUACCUGCAGAAAAAGCGCCGGCUAACUACGUGCCAGCAGCCGCGGUAAUACGUAGGGCGCAAGCGUUAUCCGGAAUUAUUGGGCGUAAAGAGCUCGUAGGCGGUUUGUCGCGUCUGCUGUGAAAUCCCGAGGCUCAACCUCGGGCCUGCAGUGGGUACGGGCAGACUAGAGUGCGGUAGGGGAGAUUGGAAUUCCUGGUGUAGCGGUGGAAUGCGCAGAUAUCAGGAGGAACACCGAUGGCGAAGGCAGAUCUCUGGGCCGUAACUGACGCUGAGGAGCGAAAGGGUGGGGAGCAAACAGGCUUAGAUACCCUGGUAGUCCACCCCGUAAACGUUGGGAACUAGUUGUGGGGUCCAUUCCACGGAUUCCGUGACGCAGCUAACGCAUUAAGUUCCCCGCCUGGGGAGUACGGCCGCAAGGCUAAAACUCAAAGGAAUUGACGGGGACCCGCACAAGCGGCGGAGCAUGCGGAUUAAUUCGAUGCAACGCGAAGAACCUUACCAAGGCUUGACAUAUACGAGAACGGGCCAGAAAUGGUCAACUCUUUGGACACUCGUAAACAGGUGGUGCAUGGUUGUCGUCAGCUCGUGUCGUGAGAUGUUGGGUUAAGUCCCGCAACGAGCGCAACCCUCGUUCUAUGUUGCCAGCACGUAAUGGUGGGAACUCAUGGGAUACUGCCGGGGUCAACUCGGAGGAAGGUGGGGAUGACGUCAAAUCAUCAUGCCCCUUAUGUCUUGGGCUUCACGCAUGCUACAAUGGCCGGUACAAAGGGCUGCAAUACCGUGAGGUGGAGCGAAUCCCWAWAAGCCGGUCCCAGUUCGGAUUGAGGUCUGCAACUCGACCUCAUGAAGUCGGAGUCGCAUAGUAAUCGCAGAUCAGYAACGCUGCGGUGAAUACGUU
RNAcentral lists this ribosomal RNA (1330 nucleotides) under Microbacterium sp. MH-150. Its description in RNAcentral is "bacterial SSU rRNA". It matches the Rfam family "Bacterial small subunit ribosomal RNA", at positions 35 to 1372 of the family's 1533-position model. The record is from RNAcentral. Lineage: Bacteria; Bacillati; Actinomycetota; Actinomycetes; Micrococcales; Microbacteriaceae.